GGCAAGUGUUAAACUUGGAGAGUAGGUGUGAGUUAUAAGAAGAUGAAAUAUAUGCCUUUAUCCAUCUCCACUAAGAACACAGAUAUGUUGGAAUUGUGCAAAUGCCCUAGAGGUGGUGUCACCUGGGACUUGAUGCCAACCUCUUGGUGCUCAGCAGGAUAAAGAGACCUGGGGAUAAUGUUGCUUGACAUUAAAGAAUGUUUAAAGUUUAUUAUUUGUGAAUGUGCUGUUGUGUACAAGCAAUUAUGCUACACUCUGCUGACUCCCUUAUUUUUUCCUCUUAAUU
RNAcentral lists this long non-coding RNA (286 nucleotides) under Capra hircus (goat). Its description in RNAcentral is "lncRNA (ENSCHIG00010020265.1)". The record is from RNAcentral. Lineage: Eukaryota; Metazoa; Chordata; Mammalia; Artiodactyla; Bovidae.